RNAcentral lists this ribosomal RNA (484 nucleotides) under uncultured bacterium. RNAcentral's name for it is "partial 16S ribosomal RNA". It matches the Rfam family "Bacterial small subunit ribosomal RNA", at positions 30 to 507 of the family's 1533-position model. The record is from RNAcentral.
AUUGAACGCUGGCGGCAGGCCUAACACAUGCAAGUCGAGCGGAUGAAGGGAGCUUGCUCCUGGAUUCAGCGGCGGACGGGUGAGUAAUGCCUAGGAAUCUGCCUGGUAGUGGGGGAUAACGUCCGGAAACGGGCGCUAAUACCGCAUACGUCCUGAGGGAGAUAGUGGGGGAUCUUCGGACCUCACGCUAUCAGAUGAGCCUAGGUCGGAUUAGCUAGUUGGUGGGGUAAAGGCCUACCAAGGCGACGAUCCGUAACUGGUCUGAGAGGAUGAUCAGUCACACUGGAACUGAGACACGGUCCAGACUCCUACGGGAGGCAGCAGUGGGGAAUAUUGGACAAUGGGCGAAAGCCUGAUCCAGCCAUGCCGCGUGUGUGAAGAAGGUCUUCGGAUUGUAAAGCACGUUAAGUUGGGAGGAAGGGCAGUAAGUUAAUACCUUGCUGUUUUGACGUUACCAACAGAAUAAGCACCGGCUAACUUCGUG